RNAcentral lists this ribosomal RNA (316 nucleotides) under Salmonella enterica subsp. enterica serovar Oranienburg. Its description in RNAcentral is "bacterial LSU rRNA". It matches the Rfam family "Bacterial large subunit ribosomal RNA", at positions 505 to 722 of the family's 2925-position model. The record is from RNAcentral. Lineage: Bacteria; Pseudomonadati; Pseudomonadota; Gammaproteobacteria; Enterobacterales; Enterobacteriaceae.
GAGGGAAAGGCGAAAAGAACCCCGGCGAGGGGAGUGAAAAAGAACCUGAAACCGUGUACGUACAAGCAGUGGGAGCCCCACCACUAAGCCAGUGGUGAACUCCACAUACGCAUCCUUUGCUGAGGAUACGGUUAACGGAGCGAAAGCGACGUUCAACCGCAAAAGAAGCAGAGGGGGCUUAGUGGUGGGGUGACUGCGUACCUUUUGUAUAAUGGGUCAGCGACUUAUAUUCUGUAGCAAGGUUAACCGUAUAGGGGAGCCGGAGGGAAACCGAGUCUUAAUUGGGCGUUAAGUUGCAGGGUAUAGACCCGAAACC